RNAcentral lists this microRNA precursor (60 nucleotides) under Pan troglodytes (chimpanzee). Lineage: Eukaryota; Metazoa; Chordata; Mammalia; Primates; Hominidae. The record is from RNAcentral.
AGAUGGUUGACCAUAGAACAUGCGCUAUCUCUGUGUCGUAUGUAAUAUGGUCCACAUCUU